UGCAAAUGACAACCCUGCUGCUGGGGAAAGCAGACGGAGAAUGGAGAACACAACUUCAUCUUGAGGGCUUUUCCUUAGGAGAAGCCACUCCAGUGCUUGUGCUCUUGAACUUCUGAGGUGAUUGAAAAUUGCAUUCUUAGAAAUGAGAAGAGGAAUUUAAAAAGUCCGAAGACUACUCAGUUCAAAAUAACUCCUGUUUUUGAGAGCCUGGACUUUGACUUGGGAACCCUUCAAAGCACCACGAGCCAUGUCGUCUGGCUGGAAAAGUGGAUUGUUUGGCCAGGUCAGGUUAUAUCAAACAAGUUCUUGAGCAUGUCAGAGCAACCACACCUCCUGGCUCUUCAGAUGCAGG
Molecule: long non-coding RNA, 352 nt
Organism: Manacus vitellinus (golden-collared manakin)
Lineage: Eukaryota; Metazoa; Chordata; Aves; Passeriformes; Pipridae
Exons: 3
Source: RefSeq, a predicted model, not a curated record